This 119-nucleotide ribosomal RNA is filed under the name Pteropus alecto (black flying fox). Lineage: Eukaryota; Metazoa; Chordata; Mammalia; Chiroptera; Pteropodidae. The record is from RNAcentral.
GUCUACGGCCAUGCUAUCCUGAACAAGCUCCAUCCCAUCUGAUUUCAGAAGCUAAACAGGGUCAGGCCUGGUUAGUACUUUGAUGGAAGACCACCUAGGAAGACCAGGUGCUGUAGGCG